RNAcentral lists this ribosomal RNA (500 nucleotides) under uncultured bacterium. Its description in RNAcentral is "partial 16S ribosomal RNA". It matches the Rfam family "Bacterial small subunit ribosomal RNA", at positions 30 to 523 of the family's 1533-position model. The record is from RNAcentral.
AUUGAACGCUGGCGGCAUGCCUUACACAUGCAAGUCGAACGGUAACGGGUCCUUCGGGAUGCCGACGAGUGGCGAACGUGUGAGUAAUAUAUCGGAACGUGCCCAGUAGUGGGGGAUAACUGCUCGAAAGAGCAGCUAAUACCGCACACGACCUGAGGGUGAAAGGGGGGGAUCGCAAGACCUCUCGCUAUUGGAGCGGCCGAUAUCAGAUUAGCUAGUUGGUGGGGUAAAGGCCUACCAAGGCAACGAUCUGUAGUUGGUCUGAGAGGACGACCAGCCACACUGGGACUGAGACACGGCCCAGACUCCUACGGGAGGCAGCAGUGGGGAAUUUUGGACAAUGGGCGCAAGCCUGAUCCAGCAAUGCCGCGUGCAGGAAGAAGGCCUUCGGGUUGUAAACUGCUUUUGUCAGGGAAGAAAUCUUCUGGGCUAAUACCCCGGGAGGAUGACGGUACCUGAAGAAUAAGCACCGGCUAACUACGUGCCAGCAGCCGCCGUAA